AUUGAACGCUGGCGGCACGCCUUACACAUGCAAGUCGAACGGCAGCACGGGUGCUUGCACCUGGUGGCGAGUGGCGAACGGGUGAGUAAUACAUCGGAACGUACCUUAUCGUGGGGGAUAACGCAGCGAAAGCUGUGCUAAUACCGCACACGCACUGAGGGGGAAAGCGGGGGAUCGAAAGACUUCGCGCGAUUAGCGCGGACGAUGCCUGAUUAGCUUGUUGGUGGGGUAAAAGCCCACCAAGGCGACGAUAAGUAGCUGGUCUGAGAGGACGAUCAGCCACACUGGGACUGAGACACGGCCCAGACUCCUACGGGAGGCAGCAGUGGGGAAUUUUGGACAAUGGGGGCAACCCUGAUCCAGCAAUGCCGCGUGAGUGAAGAAGGCCUUCGGGUUGUAAAGCUCUUUUGUCAGGGAAGAAACACCGGCUCUAACACAGUCCGGGAAUGACGGUACCUGAAGAAUAAGCACCGGCUAACUACGUGCCAGCAGCCGCGGUAA
This 501-nucleotide ribosomal RNA is filed under the name uncultured bacterium. RNAcentral's name for it is "partial 16S ribosomal RNA". It matches the Rfam family "Bacterial small subunit ribosomal RNA", at positions 29 to 523 of the family's 1533-position model. The record is from RNAcentral.